CUCAGCUUAGAGAUGGAAGCACAAUAUUUGCCUCCUCAUUUCCGAAAUCUAGGUCCACUCUGUCAGGCAUGAAGUACAACAGCAACAGGUCCUACAGUUUAGGCCAAACGCCUUUCUGGCCUAGCAACACUCCAGCUUCCAUUAAACUGCCCAAAAGCUGAUGCUCUCAAAACGCCUUCUCCUUCCUGGGAGCUGCACAGAGCCCACGGCCCRAUGCUGGCUACCUUGCAGCCCUAUCUGGCGGCACAAGAGGAAGCGCUGGCACUGAGCCUGCCUUCCAGCCGCAUGACUGAGGUUACUGGAGCAACAUCCCGGAGGGAGGGAGCUGUGGGAGGAAGCGGGGCUGUAAAGAAAGAAAACCACAAUUCAGCUGCCUGUGAGAGGAGAGAGAAAGAGAGRGGCUGGCUGGAAAGGACAGCUUUGCUGAGCCCUGAAGAAAAUGGUUUGAGUAAUUCUCAACGCCUGCCAGUAUGUGGCAAGGAAGAUUGGGAGCGUGUGCAGCCGGGGAAACGAGGAGCCACCAACGCACCCCAGGCAGGCAGCGCAGCACAGCCAGAACCAGAGUAAGUCCGCAUCUCGCUGGGGACACUACGAGGGCUGCAGGGUGGGGACCAGCACACUCAGGCUCCUGCAAAUAUGACAGGGACUUACGGGCUCAGCCUGGCCUUGGACUCCAGAAACCAGCGUGCACCUUGUACUGCUGC
Molecule: long non-coding RNA, 704 nt
Organism: Dromaius novaehollandiae (emu)
Lineage: Eukaryota; Metazoa; Chordata; Aves; Casuariiformes; Dromaiidae
Source: Ensembl